AUGUGUAUAUGAGUAACUAAUUAAAUAGAUUGCAAACGUAAAAUAAAUAAACCUGAAAUUAAUUAUUAAAUCUCAUAUUAUUAUUUUAAAAAAAGAUUUUAAAAAAAUACUAAAUCUUCAAAUUUACUGUGCUAUCUGUGGUGGACUUUAUUACAGAACUUUAUAUAGAGAGAAAUGAUCUCUUACUAAUGGAUAAAUCUGGAAGUUUGAAUUCACGCUUGAAGUUGUGUUUAAGGAAAAAGAAUCUGACAUGCAGAAGUGUAAGGAUGUCCGAAAGAAACUCCUCAAUUAGAAUUAGGUGUCCCGAAAAAAUGUGUAAUGAGCUAAAGGGGGCAAAUGGAAAAAGGUUGAGAGCUUGUGGAUGGGGCUGUAACAGGGGGGCGUUCUGUUGAAGGUGCACCAGAUGAUGGAGGACCUGACCAAGUUGUUGAUGGAGGAGGCCCCACGGUAGUACUUGGAGCAGAAGUUAUAGGAUUUGUGGC
Molecule: long non-coding RNA, 482 nt
Organism: Parasteatoda tepidariorum (common house spider)
Lineage: Eukaryota; Metazoa; Arthropoda; Arachnida; Araneae; Theridiidae
Source: RefSeq, a predicted model, not a curated record